This 1167-nucleotide long non-coding RNA is filed under the name Olea europaea (common olive). RNAcentral's name for it is "long non-coding RNA (OEUR_LNC012119)". Lineage: Eukaryota; Viridiplantae; Streptophyta; Magnoliopsida; Lamiales; Oleaceae. The record is from RNAcentral.
AACAAAUUUCCAUGCUAUGGCCAACACGCCCUCAGUAUGAGAGAAGUCUCAUAUCAUGAAAUUAGUCUAAUAAAUUACCAUGGACCUCUUUGAAGAGAGAUCAUCUCUGCCCAGCACACAAAGUCCCCAGGAAAUCAUUUUGGCUUCUCACAAAAUUUCUAAAUGAAAAGGUGUCUGUAUAUUUACACGCAAUAUAACAUUUGGACUACACAUACCAAAAUCAAGCACCUGAACUUCCAGAUUCAGAAUACUAAGGUAUAAUAACGACAAAAGAAAUAGACAAUAAACGAACACAUAUAAACAUCUCUGGAAAUAACUACCACAGACUUGGAGAAAAUACACAAAGGCUAAAUGAGACAACAAAAUAGAGCAAGUGGUAUUUCACUAAAGAAUGUAAUGCAAUGGCACUUUAAAGAUCAUAAAGGAAAUCAAUAAGUUAUUGAGUCAGAGUAAUCGAAGUUUCCAUAUAUUUUCAAAAUUCAUCUUAAGAAAAUUGCACCUGAAGCAACAGAGAUUUCAUGCAUGAUAGUAGGAGAAGUUACAGGGAGAUUUUCCUAACUGAAGCAAAACCUGUGCUAAUAUCGCCGAGAUCCCCUAAAUAUGGAAUUGAUUGCAGUUUGCUACCAAUAUCUGAACCUGCAAUUGCUUGUUGAGUGCUUUGCAAAGAUAAAAAUCCGCACAUCAGCAUAAAUUUCAAAUGAUUAUGUGAUGGAGAAGUAAGAACUAAGAAAUCCAACGACUUUGGGCUUUUCUUCCUUGAAUUAUUUGACGAAGCUAACUUUCUUGUAAUAUUGCAGCCCGCACCAGUACGAGAUAACAGGGUAAGGUUGCAACACUUCCCCUUUCUGCUUUUAAGUUCCUAUGUCACAAGUUAGCAUUUCAUUGAACUUGCAAUGUAGGUUAAAAGAUGGAAAUAAAAAUUAAACAGCUUUUGGAAAUAAUAUAUUUAAUCCACAUAAACUGAUAAAAUGGAAAGCAACAAAAAUGGAGAUAGUAUCAUUAUAAGAAGCUUUGAUCAAAGAAAUCAUUUAUGUGUUAGAUCACCACAUGUGAAAGCUUGUUACAGUGAAGUGAAUUUUAUAUCUUUAUAUUUAAAACUUCAACACGUCUCUUCACAUGGAUGCUUGAAUCACUUUUUGGCUCGAGGUGAGACACAUUAAAUUUNNN